Molecule: ribosomal RNA, 274 nt
Filed under: uncultured bacterium
Lineage: Bacteria
Description: partial 16S ribosomal RNA
Rfam family: Bacterial small subunit ribosomal RNA
Source: RNAcentral
AUACGGAGGGUCCAAGCGUUAUCCGGAUUCAUUGGGGUUAAAGGGUCCGCAGGCGGGAAAAUAAGUCAGUGGUGAAAGCCUACAGCUCAACUGUAGAACUGCCAUUGAUACUGUUUUUCUUGAGUAUAGAUGAAGUGGGCGGAAUAUAUCAUGUAGCGGUGAAAUGCAUAGAUAUGAUAUAGAACACCGAUUGCGAAGGCAGCUCACUAAACUAUUACUGACGCUCAGGGACGAAAGCGUGGGGAGCGAACAGGAUUAGAAACCCUAGUAGUCC